RNAcentral lists this non-coding RNA (157 nucleotides) under Drosophila willistoni. Its description in RNAcentral is "Eukaryotic large subunit ribosomal RNA". It matches the Rfam family "Eukaryotic large subunit ribosomal RNA", at positions 1659 to 1816 of the family's 3401-position model. The record is from Rfam by way of RNAcentral. Lineage: Eukaryota; Metazoa; Arthropoda; Insecta; Diptera; Drosophilidae.
AUAAAGAAGCCGUCGAGAGGUAUCGGAUGAGUUUUCUUUUCUGUUUUAUAGCCGUACUACCAUGGAAGUCUUUCACAGAGAGAUAUGGUAGAUGGGCUAGAAGAGUAUGACAUACACUAUUGUGUCGAUAUUUUCUCCUCGGACCUUGAAAAUUUAU